GUGAUUACUUUACAAGAACAUAUGCUAAAACUGAAUGAAACAGAGAUCAGCAUAGCCCCUGGGCAAGGAUGACGAACCAAUUUGUAAAAUGAUCUGUUUUUAA
Molecule: small nuclear RNA, 103 nt
Filed under: Phascolarctos cinereus (koala)
Lineage: Eukaryota; Metazoa; Chordata; Mammalia; Diprotodontia; Phascolarctidae
Source: RNAcentral